RNAcentral lists this ribosomal RNA (490 nucleotides) under uncultured bacterium. Its description in RNAcentral is "partial 16S ribosomal RNA". It matches the Rfam family "Bacterial small subunit ribosomal RNA", at positions 30 to 507 of the family's 1533-position model. The record is from RNAcentral.
AUUGAACGCUGGCGGCAGGCCUAACACAUGCAAGUCGAACGGUAACAGGAAGCAGCUUGCUGCUUCGCUGACGAGUGGCGGACGGGUGAGUAAUGUCUGGGAAGCUGCCUGAUGGAGGGGGAUAACUACUGGAAACGGUAGCUAAUACUGCAUAAUGUCGCAAGACCAAAGAGGGGGACCUUCGGGCCUCUUGCCAUCGGAUGUGCCCAGAUGGGAUUAGCUUGUUGGUGGGGUAACGGCUCACCAAGGCGACGAUCCCUAGCUGGUCUGAGAGGAUGACCAGCCACACUGGAACUGAGACACGGUCCAGACUCCUACGGGAGGCAGCAGUGGGGAAUAUUGCACAAUGGGCGCAAGCCUGAUGCAGCCAUGCCGCGUGUAUGAAGAAGGCCUUCGGGUUGUAAAGUACUUUCAGCGGGGAGGAAGGGAGUAAAGUUAAUACCUUUGCUCAUUGACGUUACCCGCAGAAGAAGCACCGGCUAACUCCGUG